This 1523-nucleotide long non-coding RNA is filed under the name Pongo abelii (Sumatran orangutan). Its description in RNAcentral is "lincRNA". The record is from RNAcentral. Lineage: Eukaryota; Metazoa; Chordata; Mammalia; Primates; Hominidae.
AAAAAUUUCCCAUUGCUGGUUUUCCCAUUUUCUUUCUGACCUUCCCACCUAUCAGUCUUUGUUCCCCCAUCCUUGACCCUCUUCUCCAUGUGGAUACCAUUGAUACAUUUUUAGGUUUGAAUGUCACCUUCCUUUUAUAAUGUUCCAUACCUUUAAGCAUUUGAUAAAAGCUAUGGUGGUUUCCCCAGAAAAAUGUUCAACAGGAAGUUUUGCCUACAUUUUUGGAUUCACAGACCUCAGUUCCUAUGGCAGUGUUCAUAUAUGUAAGUUCAGCUGUCACCUGUUUACAACUCAAAUCCAAUGGCUACCAGUUUUCCCACUGGACCUCUCUGGAUUUAGCAAUCUCUAGAAUUGUAUUCACUUGAUUCUAAAAAAAUAAAAAAUAAAAAAUAAACUUAAAUGCAGAUAGGAUGUCACCUCUGUUUAAAAUUUCUAGUGGCUGCUCUGGUCAUCAGUUUAAUAAAAAUUCCUUAGCAUGACCAAGAAGGCUCUUCACUACUUAAAAAUAAAGGCCGGGCACGUGGCUCAUGCCUGUAAUCCCAGCAUUCUGGAAGGCCAAGGCAGUAGGAUCACUUGAGCCCAGGAAUUCGAAACCAGCCUGGACUACAUAGUGAGACUCCAUUUCUACUAAAAAAAUUAAUGGCUCAUCAUAAUCUCCUAUUCAAAACUACUGAGUUUUAACCAUAAGAAGUCAAUUUUUGAAAACACAAAGUGUUUCAAGCCUUUACAUUUGCUGUUCAUUUUCCAAAGAUAUCCUUUCCAUCAGUAUGGACUCCACUCCUGGUUAUCCUCCAAGACUCAAAUAUCACCAUUUUUGUAGUAUCUUCCUUAAGCCACCUUCCAGUAGCUUGGUGUGCUUAUUUCUAUCCUAAUAAUUUGGGGGUAUCUUUUAAAAUUGCAGAAAUUGUAUAGAAUUAGAGGAAACAAAGCCACGUUCAAAUUCUUAUAAAAAUUUUAAAGUGAGUGGCUUAAUUUCAUCUGUAAACUGGGGACACCAUCUACCAUGUAGUUAUUAGAUGUGAAUACCAGAGAAAAUACAUGUAGAAAGUGCUAGUGCCUGCCACAUAUUAUGUGCUCAAUAAAACUCAGUGUUUCAUAUGCCUAUCUCCAAUAAAUGGCAGAAAAGACUAACCUGUCUCAAGAGUGCCUGGCUCAUAGCAAGUACCAUGUUCAUGUUUUAAAAAACAGAUGAAAGACAACAAGAAAGUCACAUUCUAAAGCUUUUCAAGAAAUAAAGAAAUACAAACAAAGUUUCUUCAUCAUUCUAUUUAUUACAUGUAUGAAUAUUAACAUCUCAUGGUGUCCAUCUAAGUCAAAACCAACAAAAGAAAAAAGUUAACCAUAUCUCAAGCAAACAUUCUUACAGAUUCCCGUUACUUAAAAUAGAAAUAUGUUCAUCUGCAUUAAAUCAUUUGACAAUUUGAAAAAGUCUUUAAAAAAAAAUCACCUUUAGUACUUAAAUAUAUUUGUUAAUUGUUUGAUGGCAUCAGUGUCCAAGUUCAAGAAUAAAACUUGCUUCAUUA